UACGGAGGGUGCAAGCGUUAAUCGGAAUUACUGGGCGUAAAGGGCGCGUAGGCGGCCCAGCAAGUCGGGAGUGAAAGCCCGGGGCUCAACCCCGGAACGGCUUUCGAAACUGCUGAGCUAGAGUACAGAAGGGGCAACCGGAAUUCCCAGUGUAGCGGUGAAAUGCGUAGAUAUUGGGAAGAACACCUGAGGCGAAGGCGGGUUGCUGGGCUGAUACUGACGCUGAGGCGCGAAAGCCAGGGGAGCAAACGGG
This 253-nucleotide ribosomal RNA is filed under the name uncultured bacterium. Its description in RNAcentral is "partial 16S ribosomal RNA". It matches the Rfam family "Bacterial small subunit ribosomal RNA", at positions 524 to 776 of the family's 1533-position model. The record is from RNAcentral.